RNAcentral lists this ribosomal RNA (301 nucleotides) under uncultured bacterium. Its description in RNAcentral is "partial 16S ribosomal RNA". It matches the Rfam family "Bacterial small subunit ribosomal RNA", at positions 509 to 807 of the family's 1533-position model. The record is from RNAcentral.
CAGCCGCCGCGGUAAUACGUAGGUGGCAAGCGUUGCCCGGAAUUAUUGGGCGUAAAGGGCUCGCAGGCGGUUUCUUAAGUCUGAUGUGAAAGCCCCCGGCUCAACCGGGGAGGGUCAUUGGAAACUGGGAAACUUGAGUGCAGAAGAGGAGAGUGGAAUUCCACGUGUAGCGGUGAAAUGCGUAGAGAUUAGGAGGAACACCAGUGGCGAAGGCGGCUUUUUGGCCUGUAACUGACACUGAGGCGCGAAAGCGUGGGGAGCAAACAGGAUUAGAUACCCGCGUAGUCCCUGUCUCUUAUAC